Molecule: long non-coding RNA, 888 nt
Organism: Pezoporus flaviventris
Lineage: Eukaryota; Metazoa; Chordata; Aves; Psittaciformes; Psittacidae
Exons: 2
Source: RefSeq, a predicted model, not a curated record
CUCUCCCAACCUCCUAGAUUCAAGGAAGGGAGCUGAAACUCUCAGAAGAGAUUUAAUGCACUCCACAGUCGAGAUCUCUUCAGCGCUGAAGCCACCCACAGAUCUUUUUGGGGGAAAAACACAGACUUCCUGUGUAAGAACUUGGUGCCUCCACUCUUAAAUCAUCGCACACGUACUCCAUCGUUUCAUCCCAGCUAUUUUUAAGGACGCAUCACGUAAAGGACACUUUGCCCCCCACAUCAGGGGGAAAAUUCUUAAAAUGAUGGAGCAUGAAUGGAGCCAAAUUACCUAAUGAAACAAUUAUUUUAGCAGCAUGGAUUUAUUUGCUAGCUCCUGUCACCAUACUGCACCCUCCAUGUCCACUCUUCCAGAGAAACCAAGUCUGUUUUGUCCAGCCCCAAGUCCAAGCCAUGCAUUUCCAAACCAGAGUCUCUCCUACAUGAUUGUCUGGUUUUCCAAGACGUAACUCCAUGAUGAUACCGAUGAACUCACAAGCUGGAUUCACCAGUCCCCCCUUACCUGACUGCAGAGCACACAUCAAGAAGGUUAUAUCACCUGACUUGACCCUGCUAGAACAAGGGUAAUAAAAUAUCGAGUUAUUUCAGCUUUCAAUGUAAUAAUAUGUUGCUGAUUAUAAUUUCACUUCUAGAAUUAUGAAGAUCUUUUUUUGCAAGAAACAGAAUCCAUCAGUUCAGUUGAUCGCUUAUUCCAAUGGUUCAUUUUCCUCCUCAAAAAAUUGAUGUCUUGUUUCUCAUUUGAAUAGCUCUAAUUUUAAUUAGAAGGCAUUGGCUUUUGUUGCUAAAUUAAACAGUGCCUUGCCUUUGAUCUGGUACAUACUGCACUGCACAGCCCUUGCUAAACAAAACAGAAAGAUUUUUAAAUCUCUCA